This 102-nucleotide small nuclear RNA is filed under the name Ursus maritimus (polar bear). The record is from RNAcentral. Lineage: Eukaryota; Metazoa; Chordata; Mammalia; Carnivora; Ursidae.
CUCACUUCGGUGGCACAGACUAAAACUGGAACAAUACAGAGAAGAUUAGCAUCGUCCCUAUAAGAGAGUGACAUGCAAACUAGUGACGUGUUCUGCAUUUUU